GCAUAUCAAUAAGCGGAGGAAAAGAAACCAACAGGGAUUGCCCUAGUAACGGCGAGUGAAGCGGCAACAGCUCAAAUUUGAAAUCUGGCUUCGGCCCGAGUUGUAAUUUGUAGAGGAAGCUUCUGGCGCGGCGCUGUCCGAGUCCCCUGGAACGGGGCGCCAUAGAGGGUGAGAGCCCCGUAUGGAUGGAUGCCUAGCCUGUGUGAAGCUCCUUCGACGAGUCGAGUAGUUUGGGAAUGCUGCUCAAAAUGGGAGGUAAAUUCCUUCUAAAGCUAAAUAUUGGCCAGAGACCGAUAGCGCACAAGUAGAGUGAUCGAAAGAUGAAAAGCACUUUGAAAAGAGGGUUAAAAAGCACGUGAAAUUGUUGAAAGGGAAGCGCUUAUGACCAGACUUGCGCCGGGCUGAUCAUCCGGUGUUCUCACCGGUGCACUCUGCCCGGCUCAGGCCAGCAUCAGUUCUGGCGGGGGGAUAAAGGCCCAGGGAACGUAGCUCCUUCGGGAGUGUUAUAGCCCUGGGUGCAAUACCCCCGCUGGGACUGAGGUUCGCGCUCUGCAAGGAUGCUGGCGUAAU
This 570-nucleotide ribosomal RNA is filed under the name Trichocladium pyriforme. RNAcentral describes it as "eukaryotic LSU rRNA". It matches the Rfam family "Eukaryotic large subunit ribosomal RNA", at positions 38 to 635 of the family's 3401-position model. Lineage: Eukaryota; Fungi; Ascomycota; Sordariomycetes; Sordariales; Chaetomiaceae. The record is from RNAcentral.